AUUGAACGCUGGCGGCAUGCCUUACACAUGCAAGUCGAACGGCAGCACGGGAGCAAUCCUGGUGGCGAGUGGCGAACGGGUGAGUAAUAUAUCGGAACGUGCUCAGUCGUGGGGAUAACGUAGCGAAAGCUACGCUAAUACCGCAUACGAUCUAUGGAUGAAAGCGGGGGAUCGCAAGACCUCGCGCGAUUGGAGCGGCCGAUAUCAGAUUAGGUAGUUGGUGAGGUAAAGGCUCACCAAGCCGACGAUCUGUAGCUGGUCUGAGAGGACGACCAGCCACACUGGGACUGAGACACGGCCCCAGACUCCUACGGGAGGCAGCAGUGGGGGAAUUUUUGGACAAUGGGCGCAAGCCUGAUCCAGCAAUGCCGCGUGCAGGAUGAAGGCCUUC
RNAcentral lists this ribosomal RNA (391 nucleotides) under uncultured bacterium. RNAcentral describes it as "bacterial SSU rRNA". It matches the Rfam family "Bacterial small subunit ribosomal RNA", at positions 30 to 419 of the family's 1533-position model. The record is from RNAcentral.